GCAACGAGCGCAACCCCUACUGUUAGUUGCCAUCAUUCAGUUGGGCACUCUAGCGAGACUGCCGGUAAUAAACCGGAGGAAGGUGGGGAUGACGUCAAAUCAUCAUGCCCCUUAUGACCUGGGCUACACACGUGCUACAAUGGUUGGUACAACGAGUUGCGAGUCGGUGACGGCGAGCUAAUCUCUUAAAGCCAAUCUCAGUUCGGAUUGUAGGCUGCAACUCGCCUACAUGAAGUCGGAAUCGCUAGUAAUCGCGGAUCAGCACGCCGCGGUCGAAUACGUUCCCGGGCCUU
Molecule: ribosomal RNA, 293 nt
Filed under: uncultured Streptococcus sp.
Lineage: Bacteria; Bacillati; Bacillota; Bacilli; Lactobacillales; Streptococcaceae
Description: partial 16S ribosomal RNA
Rfam family: Bacterial small subunit ribosomal RNA
Source: RNAcentral